GUUCCCAGGUGGCCUAGUGGUCUAAGGGCCUUUACAGACCAUUCUCAUUUCACCUCUGUUCUCCUGAGUUCGAGUCUCGGCUUGACCA
Potamilus streckersoni is the source of this 88-nucleotide non-coding RNA. The record is from the annotation of a GenBank genome assembly. Lineage: Eukaryota; Metazoa; Mollusca; Bivalvia; Unionida; Unionidae.